Molecule: ribosomal RNA, 459 nt
Filed under: uncultured bacterium
Lineage: Bacteria
Description: partial 16S ribosomal RNA
Rfam family: Bacterial small subunit ribosomal RNA
Source: RNAcentral
CCUACGGGUGGCAGCAGUGAGGAAUAUUGGUCAAUGGCCGAGAGGCUGAACCAGCCAAGUCGCGUGAGGGAAGACGGCCCUACGGGUUGUAAACCUCUUUUGUCGGGGAGCAAAACGAGUCACGUGUGACGCAUUGAGAGUACCCGAAGAAAAAGCAUCGGCUAACUCCGUGCCAGCAGCCGCGGUAAUACGGAGGAUGCGAGCGUUAUCCGGAUUUAUUGGGUUUAAAGGGUGCGCAGGCGGAGGUGCAAGUCAGCGGUAAAAUUGCGGGGCUCAACCCCGUACUGCCGUGGAAACUGCAUGCCUUGAGUGCGCGAGAAGUAUGCGGAAUGCGUGGUGUAGCGGUGAAAUGCAUAGAUAUCACGAAGAACUCCGAUUGCGAAGGCAGCAUACGGGCGCGCAACUGACGCUCAUGCACGAAAGCGUGGGUAUCGAACAGGAUUAGAUACCCUUGUAGUC